UACGGAGGGUGCAAGCGUUAUCCGGAUUCACUGGGUUUAAAGGGUGCGCAGGCGGCCAAGUGUGUCAGGUGUGAAAUCCCGAGGCUUAACCUCGGAACUGCGCCUGAAACUACUUGGCUAGAGUACUGGAGAGGGUAACGGAAUUCACGGUGUAGCAGUGAAAUGCGUAGAUAUCGUGAGGAACACCAGAGGCGAAGGCGGUUACCUGGACAGUUACUGACGCUCAGGCACGAAAGCGUGGGGAGCAAAAGGG
RNAcentral lists this ribosomal RNA (253 nucleotides) under uncultured bacterium. RNAcentral describes it as "partial 16S ribosomal RNA". It matches the Rfam family "Bacterial small subunit ribosomal RNA", at positions 524 to 776 of the family's 1533-position model. The record is from RNAcentral.